AUGUACGAGUCCGAUUGCGAUGAAGAUCGUCAGAGAAAUGAACAACAGUUUGUGGAGAUGAAACCUGAAGUGGUGGAACUGAGAACUCUCCAUAAGAGAGAAGAGGAAUCAUUGGUGAUGAUGAUUUGUUUGAGAAAAAAAAAGAUGAAUGGUUGGAGUAAACUUGAUAAAGAUGAUACGAGAUUCAGAGAGAGAAAGGAGUGUUAUUAUUUCUUUUCUUCUUCUUUUAAUUGA
Molecule: non-coding RNA, 234 nt
Organism: Vicia faba (fava bean)
Lineage: Eukaryota; Viridiplantae; Streptophyta; Magnoliopsida; Fabales; Fabaceae
Source: the annotation of a GenBank genome assembly